GUGGGGAAUCUUAGACAAUGGGCGCAAGCCUGAUCUAGCCAUGCCGCGUGAGCGAUGAAGGCCUUAGGGUUGUAAAGCUCUUUCAGCUGGGAAGAUAAUGACGGUACCAGCAGAAGAAGCCCCGGCUAACUCCGUGCCAGCAGCCGCGGUAAUACGGAGGGGGCUAGCGUUGUUCGGAAUUACUGGGCGUAAAGCGCACGUAGGCGGAUCAGAAAGUCAGAGGUGAAAUCCCAGGGCUCAACCUUGGAACUGCAUUUGAAACUCCUGAUCUUGAGGUCGAGACAGGUGAAUGGAAUUCCGAGUGUAGAUGUGAAAUUCGUAGAUAUUCGGAGGAACACCAGUGGCGAAGGCGACUCACUGGCUCGAUACUGACGCUGAGGUGCGAAAGCGUGGGGAGCAAACAGGAUUAGAAACCCUUGUAGUCC
Molecule: ribosomal RNA, 425 nt
Filed under: uncultured bacterium
Lineage: Bacteria
Description: bacterial SSU rRNA
Rfam family: Bacterial small subunit ribosomal RNA
Source: RNAcentral